RNAcentral lists this unclassified non-coding RNA (242 nucleotides) under Cercozoa sp. Its description in RNAcentral is "partial contains small subunit ribosomal RNA, internal transcribed spacer 1, and 5.8S ribosomal RNA". The stretch from base 1 to 47 matches the Rfam family "Eukaryotic small subunit ribosomal RNA", at positions 1785 to 1831 of the family's 1831-position model. Lineage: Eukaryota; Cercozoa. The record is from RNAcentral.
AAAGUCGUAACAAGGUUUCCGUAGGUGAACCUGCGGAAGGAUCAUUAACACGUGUUCACACACGUUUUAUCUAUCAACCAAUCGUGAACUGUUUUUUAACUUUAUUUUACCAUUUUUAAUCUGGUCUAAUUCUUUUUGGUAUUCGUUGAUCUCCUGAGCUUAACUGUUCGGUCGAGGACGACUUGAGUAUCAAAACACAAACUAAUACGAAACAACUCUUAGCAACGGAUAUCUUGGUUCUC